UUCAAUCGCUUGUGAACAGCUUAAUGAAACUUACAAAAACGAGACCCUCUCCGACUUCCUAGGUGGUCUAUGAAAGCCUGUAGACUGAUUUUUAUGUGAAGGACUCGGGACGGUUUUGCCGGGAAAAUCAAAAGGAUGCGACGGUUACGCGCGCUCCCGAGAGCCUUUCUUCCGUCCAAUUGCACUUGAAAUGAACGCUUAUAUAAUAUUCAGAACAAUGCCGAAAGAGCCAUUUUGUAAGUUGAAGGAAAGCACGCAGCACACAUCUAAACGUCGCUCUCAGCGGUGUGGACGGUGUCUGGAUGUUAGGCUAACAGUAAAUCGCCAUUAACCGCAAAGUAUGAAGUAAGUCAUACAGGUUUGGAAGGACAUGAGGGUGA
Long non-coding RNA from Megalobrama amblycephala (Wuchang bream), 380 nucleotides. RefSeq lists it as uncharacterized. NCBI's taxonomy places the organism in Eukaryota, Metazoa, Chordata, Actinopteri, Cypriniformes, Xenocyprididae. The record is from RefSeq and is a predicted model, not a curated record. The transcript is spliced from 3 exons.